This 253-nucleotide ribosomal RNA is filed under the name uncultured bacterium. RNAcentral's name for it is "partial 16S ribosomal RNA". It matches the Rfam family "Bacterial small subunit ribosomal RNA", at positions 524 to 776 of the family's 1533-position model. The record is from RNAcentral.
UACGUAGGGGGCAAGCGUUGUCCGGAUUUACUGGGCGUAAAGAGCGUGUAGGCGGCCAAGCAGGUCCGUUGUGAAAACUGGAGGCUUAACCUCCAGACGUCGACGGAAACCGCGUGGCUAGAGUCCGGAAGAGGAGAGUGGAAUUCCUGGUGUAGCGGUGAAAUGCGCAGAUAUCAGGAAGAACACCAAUGGCGAAGGCGGCUCACUGGCCCGGUACUGACGCUGAGGUGCGAAAGCGUGGGGAGCAAACAGG